AGUCAGUACAGUUACCGAUGUCAGGUAGACACUGCGGAAGGAUCAUUAAAGAGUUAGGGUCCUAGUGGCCCAACCUCCAACCCUCUGUUGUUAAAACUACCUUGUUGCUUUGGCGGGACCGUUCGGUCUCCGAGCGCGUUAACCUUCGGGUUGGCGAGCGCCCGCCAGAGUCCAACCAAACUCUUGUAUUAAACCAGUCGUCUGAGUAUAAAAUUUUAAUUAAAUUAAAA
RNAcentral lists this unclassified non-coding RNA (230 nucleotides) under plant metagenome. RNAcentral's name for it is "partial contains small subunit ribosomal RNA and internal transcribed spacer 1". The record is from RNAcentral.